CACCACAGGGAGCAUGUCUCACACCUUGUGCUUUUCCUCCCCAGUUGCUCAGUGCAUCUUUGAGGAAGGAGCUCUGUCCGGAAAGUUCCUCUCCCUGUCCAAAGCCUACGUUCUGGCAGAGAAGUUGCCAUUAGCUUGCUGUGGAGGAGAAAGCAAACGGAAGCAAAUUCCUUUUGGGGGCACUCUUCAUUUCAGAAAGAAGGUCACGGGCCGAUAACUUCAGGGACACCAGACCUGGUUGCAGAGCUACCUGAUGUCAGCUUUGGCCAUGAAUUUGCAGAAGAAAAGAAAUGCAAGAUCUUCACUACUUUGAUCCUUAUCACAUACCCCCGGACUGCAGACUGCGAGCCCCACGUAUAAAAUCUUCUCCGAUUCCCCAAGGAGGGAGGCACAGUUCUUGAGGCGUUAGCCUACUGUGUCUUCCCUUGGCCUGGCAAAGAAAAUAAAAAGCCUCUCUAUUUCUUAUCUUCCAA
Molecule: long non-coding RNA, 473 nt
Organism: Balaenoptera ricei (Rice's whale)
Lineage: Eukaryota; Metazoa; Chordata; Mammalia; Artiodactyla; Balaenopteridae
Exons: 2
Source: RefSeq, a predicted model, not a curated record